RNAcentral lists this transfer RNA (85 nucleotides) under Corynebacterium pseudotuberculosis. RNAcentral's name for it is "tRNA-Leu". Lineage: Bacteria; Bacillati; Actinomycetota; Actinomycetes; Mycobacteriales; Corynebacteriaceae. The record is from RNAcentral.
GGCGUUUUUCAAAAUUCCCCAAUGACCUGUAGUAUUAUCACACGUUGCGCAAUGAUAGUGCGCUGAGCGCCCGUGGCGGAAUUGG